UCGUUAUUCUAGAAAACAUAAUAUAAUAUGAAUAAAUUGGCGAAAAACAUAUAAAGAGGGUACUAGACUCCAUUUCAGAGUUUGAGUUUUCAAGUAAUGCGAUCCCGAAGCUCUACGAUCCUAAUAGCGAUUGACCCGAUGUUGGGUCAAAACGAGUUUCAUUUCGGAACUCCAACUCCCUAGUGUUCCAUGUAAAAGAAAAAAAGAUAAAGAUUAAUAAUCCAAAUACAUCAAAAAAGACAAAAUUAAAGGAAAAAUAGAUCAAUAAACAAAGCAUCACCUAUGAUUUUUUAAACUUAACCUAAAUACGGUAAUUUAGCAAUAUAUAUAAAAAGAAAAUCCUAUGCUUUACAUUCAAGCUUAUGCACAACAUGUUCAUCAUUGGAUAGAAUAUAUUAAUAAUAUAUUACUUCAUUACUCUCUUAGUCACAACCAUACAUCACAGCAACUAGAACUUAAUCAAACAGAGAAUUGGGUUAUCCAAAAUGAGCCAAAACAUUUAUGAAUGAAAAAAUCUUAUGCACGAUUUCUAGGAAGAUAUGACCCAAAACCCAAAAAGGGAAGGAAACGUUAUUGGAAAUUUUAAACUACAUACUCUUUACAAAGACAGACAUCCCAAGGCUGCAGAAUGGUCAUAAUUAAGUUAUAAGGUAGCCCGAAGGCUAAUUAACUACCCUAAUACUAACUUAAAAGUCCAUUAUUAACGUACUAAAGACAUCUAGUAUACAACAUUCAGGUAUACUACAUUCCCUAAUCAAACUAACCAACACCCAGAAGAAAGAAAAUGUAACUAAAAGUUUUCUCCAGUGACAAGUAUAUACUUCAUAUUUUACUUGAUAUUUUAUUUAGAAGGGUGCACUUAGGCUGAAAAUUAAUAUGCAGGUUACCAAUUUAACUUAACAACUUAUACCACAUGAAAAGAUUGCUUCUUUUUUUUUUUUGGCCAAGCUUUAUAAUUUUCGUAGUCUAUUUAAUAAUAUCAACAUCAAUUACAUACACAGCUUCCAUACAGACCCAAUCAUAGUAUGUAAAACAAUACAAAUCAACACACAAAAUAGGACGGAAAGAGUAUGUAUAUAUGUGCGUCGUUUGGUUUCCCAUAUAUAAAAAAAUUCUAUUUCUUGUCUCUCCUCUAUUAUUUAAAACGGUAUGAAGAGUACCCCAAACUUAGCAAAAUUUCAACAUAUAUGAGUCCAGUGACUUGCCAUAUUCCAACGGCUUACAUAUUUCGGUUGGAACAUACAAAUCACAAAACUUCAUCAAAACCAUAUCAUCAUUUUGAACGAUGUAUUAUUAUAUGAAAACAACAACAUAUGGA
RNAcentral lists this long non-coding RNA (1318 nucleotides) under Capsicum annuum. RNAcentral describes it as "long non-coding RNA (CANN_LNC019326)". The record is from RNAcentral. Lineage: Eukaryota; Viridiplantae; Streptophyta; Magnoliopsida; Solanales; Solanaceae.